Molecule: long non-coding RNA, 994 nt
Organism: Sinocyclocheilus grahami
Lineage: Eukaryota; Metazoa; Chordata; Actinopteri; Cypriniformes; Cyprinidae
Exons: 3
Source: RefSeq, a predicted model, not a curated record
CUGGGCUGCUCUCCUCCUCUCUGUCAGAUUGCGCUCUGCAUCACACCAUUUCACAUGAUGACCGACUCUGCUUACGAGCACCGAAACCUUCAGCUCUGGCUAUUUGCCUCCAACAUGCCUUUUUCUGCUUUCUUUUUUUUUCGUUUAUCUUGAAGAAAUUUGAGUGAUGCUGCACUGUAAGCGGAAAUGAUUUGCGUCGCAUCCUACAGCAUCAAGGUGCGCAAAAGCGAGCGGAACAUUUGAUGGGUUUGGAAGGACGCUCUUCUGCACCGACUGCCUUGUGGACAUUUCCCAAAACUGGAUUUAUGGACACUUAUUAUCUCGGGGGAUAAAAACCUAUUAUUUAUAUCCUGCUUCGCAAGGUGUAUUUGUACUGAAUGGACGUCACUGAAUGGAUCGCCUAAUUAAAAUCCUAUUUGCGGGGAAUUUUCCUUUCUGUGCAUGGUGCAAGGUUGGCUUUGACAAAUGGUGCCCUCCACUUUUUUUCCCAAUAUUUAGUUUACCCCCUCCUGAUGCAGGUGCUUUCAACUGUCUCCACCUUCUAACAUAUACCCCGCCCGACCCCCCACAAGAGGCUGCGGUGUCUCUGGUUUAGUCCCACAGUUUCCCCCUUCUCUCUUACCUCUGCUGCAUUUUGCAUGAGCUAUCUAGGUCAUUAGCAUUUUAGCGUAUACAAGACUUGACAAAGCUGGUGAGGAGCCAGAUGGGCCCUCUACUAUUUUUUUUUUUUUAUAUCUCAUGGGAGUUGAGCAAGGGACCAACUGCAGCAAGCCACUGAGCGCUUUCUUUUUAUUGCCAUCACUCGGGCCUUAUGUUGCACCAACACAUGAUGGAGAGAUGCGCACCGUCCUGUGGAAAUUACGCAUUCGAAAAAAUAGAUCUGUGUGGGGACACGAUGUCUUCAGGAGAAGAUGAUGAAGAAGAAGAAUAUGGAUAGAAAAGUUGUGAGGCCUACGUUGACAACCAAAUUAAACUUAAAUUUCUGAACGUUCAG